CGGACGGGUGAGUAACGCGUGGGUAACCUGCCUCAUACAGGGGGAUAACAGUUAGAAAUGACUGCUAAUACCGCAUAAGCGCACAGAAUCGCAUGAUUCGGUGUGAAAAACUCCGGUGGUAUGAGAUGGACCCGCGUCUGAUUAGCUAGUUGGUGGGGUAAAGGCCUACCAAGGCGACGAUCAGUAGCCGACCUGAGAGGGUGAUCGGCCACAUUGGGACUGAGACACGGCCCAAACUCCUACGGGAGGCAGCAG
Molecule: ribosomal RNA, 255 nt
Filed under: uncultured bacterium
Lineage: Bacteria
Description: partial 16S ribosomal RNA
Rfam family: Bacterial small subunit ribosomal RNA
Source: RNAcentral